RNAcentral lists this ribosomal RNA (1863 nucleotides) under Cyanocohniella rudolphia SY-1-2-Y. RNAcentral's name for it is "bacterial SSU rRNA". The record is from RNAcentral. Lineage: Bacteria; Bacillati; Cyanobacteriota; Cyanophyceae; Nostocales; Nodulariaceae.
UGAUCCUUGCUCAGGAUGAACGCUGGCGGUAUGCUUAACACAUGCAAGUCGAACGGUCUCUUCGGAGAUAGUGGCGGACGGGUGAGUAACGCGUGAGAAUCUAGCUUCAGGUCGGGGACAACCACUGGAAACGGUGGCUAAUACCGGAUGUGCCGAAAGGUGAAAGAUUUAUUGCCUGAAGAUGAGCUCGCGUCUGAUUAGCUAGUAGGUGUGGUAAGAGCGCACCUAGGCGACGAUCAGUAGCUGGUCUGAGAGGAUGAUCAGCCACACUGGGACUGAGACACGGCCCAGACUCCUACGGGAGGCAGCAGUGGGGAAUUUUCCGCAAUGGGCGAAAGCCUGACGGAGCAAUACCGCGUGAGGGAGGAAGGCUCUUGGGUUGUAAACCUCUUUUCUCAGGGAAUAAAAAAAUGAAGGUACCUGAGGAAUAAGCAUCGGCUAACUCCGUGCCAGCAGCCGCGGUAAUACGGAGGAUGCAAGCGUUAUCCGGAAUGAUUGGGCGUAAAGGGUCCGCAGGUGGCAAUGUAAGUCUGCUGUUAAAGAAUGAGGCUCAACCUCAUACCAGCAGUGGAAACUACAUAGCUAGAGUGCGUUCGGGGUAGAGGGAAUUCCUGGUGUAGCGGUGAAAUGCGUAGAUAUCAGGAAGAACACCGGUGGCGAAAGCGCUCUACUAGGCCGCAACUGACACUGAGGGACGAAAGCUAGGGGAGCGAAUGGGAUUAGAUACCCCAGUAGUCCUAGCCGUAAACGAUGGAUACUAGGCGUGGCUUGUAUCGACCCGAGCCGUGCCGGAGCUAACGCGUUAAGUAUCCCGCCUGGGGAGUACGCACGCAAGUGUGAAACUCAAAGGAAUUGACGGGGGCCCGCACAAGCGGUGGAGUAUGUGGUUUAAUUCGAUGCAACGCGAAGAACCUUACCAAGACUUGACAUGUCGCGAACCUUCUUGAAAGAGAAGGGUGCCUUAGGGAGCGCGAACACAGGUGGUGCAUGGCUGUCGUCAGCUCGUGUCGUGAGAUGUUGGGUUAAGUCCCGCAACGAGCGCAACCCUCGUUUUUAGUUGCCAGCAUUAAGUUGGGCACUCUAGAGAGACUGCCGGUGACAAACCGGAGGAAGGUGGGGAUGACGUCAAGUCAGCAUGCCCCUUACGUCUUGGGCUACACACGUACUACAAUGCUACGGACAAAGGGCAGCUACACAGCAAUGUGAUGCAAAUCUCAGAAACCGUAGCUCAGUUCAGAUCGCAGGCUGCAACUCGCCUGCGUGAAGGAGGAAUCGCUAGUAAUUGCAGGUCAGCAUACUGCAGUGAAUUCGUUCCCGGGCCUUGUACACACCGCCCGUCACACCAUGGAAGCUGGUAGUGCCCGAAGUCAUUACUCCAACCUUUCGGGGGGGAGGAUGCCUAAGGCAGGACUGGUGACUGGGGUGAAGUCGUAACAAGGUAGCCGUACCGGAAGGUGUGGCUGGAUCACCUCCUUUUAGGGAGACCUACACCCCUCAGAACUCGAAAACACAUAGUGAAUAGAGACUGAGUUGGUUAUUCCUAGGUCGGUCGAGAUUGUUCAAARCUUUCAAAAUAUUUUGGUUUCAGUCCAUCACGUUAAAGUUUAAUUAAUUAAUGGAAAUAAAGUUCAGCAACAUGGGUCAUACUAGCCWSACUGCUGGGUGAAAGUCCAGCCAGAACCUUGAAAACUGCAUAGUAACGCGAAAAAAGCAGGCAGACACAGACAAAGUGUUUGCAAGUGGAAAACCAAUGGAAAUGUGGUCAAGCUAAUAARGGCUGACGGUGGAUACCUAGGCACACACAGGCGAAGAACGGACGUGGUUACCGACGAUAUACUCCGGGGGAAGUUGGAAGCAAACAUU